GAUGAAGAACGCAGCGAAAUGCGAUACUUGGUGUGAAUUGCAAAAUCCCGUGAACCAUCGAGUCUUUGAACGCAAGUUGCGCCCGAAGCCUCGGCUAAGGGCACGUCUGCCUGGGCGUCACGCAUCGCGUCUCCCCCAAACCGCCAAGGCGGAGGGGAAGGAAGAUGGCUUCCCGUGCCUCACCCGGCGCGGUUGGCCUAAAUUUGGAGCCCGCGGCACUUAGCUCUCGCGGCGAUAGGUGGUGAACAAGGCCUUGGCCGUGCAAACAACCCGCUGCGAAGCUCUAUGUCACGUGCGCUCGUCGGACCCUUUGAAGUUGCCUUCGGUGACUUAAAACCUUUGCGACCCCAGGUCAGGCGGGGCUACCCGCUGAAUUUAAGCAUAUCAAUAAGCGGAGGA
RNAcentral lists this unclassified non-coding RNA (399 nucleotides) under soil metagenome. Its description in RNAcentral is "partial contains 5.8S ribosomal RNA, internal transcribed spacer 2, and large subunit ribosomal RNA". The stretch from base 1 to 120 matches the Rfam family "5.8S ribosomal RNA", at positions 35 to 154 of the family's 154-position model. The record is from RNAcentral.